UGGGGUGUCGCCAAGCGGUAAGGCAGAGGACUCUGACUCCUCCAUUCGUGGGUUCAAAUCCUACCACCCCAA
Molecule: transfer RNA, 72 nt
Filed under: Oscillospiraceae bacterium
Lineage: Bacteria; Bacillati; Bacillota; Clostridia; Eubacteriales; Oscillospiraceae
Description: tRNA-Gln
Rfam family: tRNA
About the family: Transfer RNA (tRNA) molecules are approximately 80 nucleotides in length. Their secondary structure includes four short double-helical elements and three loops (D, anti-codon, and T loops). Further hydrogen bonds mediate the characteristic L-shaped molecular structure. tRNAs have two regions of fundamental functional importance: the anti-codon, which is responsible for specific mRNA codon recognition, and the 3' end, to which the tRNAs corresponding amino acid is attached (by aminoacyl-tRNA synthetases). tRNAs cope with the degeneracy of the genetic code in two manners: having more than one tRNA (with a specific anti-codon) for a particular amino acid; and 'wobble' base-pairing, i.e. permitting non-standard base-pairing at the 3rd anti-codon position.
Source: RNAcentral